GUACUGAUGAAGAGUCCCAAACUAAGACGAAACAGUCGUCCAGUAC
This 46-nucleotide non-coding RNA is filed under the name Trichobilharzia regenti. The record is from RNAcentral. Lineage: Eukaryota; Metazoa; Platyhelminthes; Trematoda; Strigeidida; Schistosomatidae.